This 440-nucleotide ribosomal RNA is filed under the name uncultured bacterium. RNAcentral's name for it is "partial 16S ribosomal RNA". It matches the Rfam family "Bacterial small subunit ribosomal RNA", at positions 338 to 795 of the family's 1533-position model. The record is from RNAcentral.
CCUACGGGAGGCAGCAGUAGGGAAUAUUGCUCAAUGGGGGAAACCCUGAAGCAGCAACGCCGCGUGGAGGAUGAAGGUUUUCGGAUUGUAAACUCCUUUUUUUAGAGGAGUUAAUGACGGUAUCUAACGAAUAAUCACCGGCUAAAUCCGUGCCAGCAGCCGCGGUAAUACGGAGGGUGCAAGCGUUACGCGGAAUCACUGGGCGUAAAGAGCGCGUAGGCGGGAUAGCAAGUCAGAUGUGAAAGCCUAUGGCUUAACCAUAGAAUUGCAGUUGAAACUGUUAUUCUAGAGUAUGGGAGAGGUAGGUGGAAUUCUUGGUGUAGGGGUAAAAUGCGUAGAGAUCAAGAAGAAUACUGAUUGCGAAGGCGACCUGCUAGGACAUAACUGACGCUGAUGCGCGAAAGCGUGGGGAGCAAACAGGAUUAGAUACCCGGGUAGUC